GGCUCGAGGACGAACGCUGGCGGCGUGCCUAACACAUGCAAGUCGAACGGAGCUAUUAUGGAAGUACCUUCGGGUGCGGAAGUUUUAGCUUAGUGGCGAACGGGUGAGUAACGCGUGAGCAACCUGCCUUUCAGAGGGGGACAACAGUUGGAAACGACUGCUAAUACCGCAUGACACAUUCGGAUGGCAUCACCUGAAUGUCAAAGAUUUUAUCGCUGAAAGAUGGCCUCGCGUCUGAUUAGCUAGUUGGUGGGGUAACGGCCCACCAAGGCGACGAUCAGUAGCCGGACUGAGAGGUUGACCGGCCACAUUGGGACUGAGAUACGGCCCAGACUCCUACGGGAGGCAGCAGUGGGGAAUAUUGGGCAAUGGACGCAAGUCUGACCCAGCAACGCCGCGUGAAGGAAGAAGGCUUUCGGGUUGUAAACUUCUUUUAAGUGGGAAGAGCAGAAGACGGUACCACUUGAAUAAGCCACGGCUAACUACGUG
Molecule: ribosomal RNA, 489 nt
Filed under: uncultured bacterium
Lineage: Bacteria
Description: bacterial SSU rRNA
Rfam family: Bacterial small subunit ribosomal RNA
Source: RNAcentral